RNAcentral lists this ribosomal RNA (501 nucleotides) under uncultured bacterium. Its description in RNAcentral is "bacterial SSU rRNA". It matches the Rfam family "Bacterial small subunit ribosomal RNA", at positions 62 to 543 of the family's 1533-position model. The record is from RNAcentral.
UCGUGCGCGAAGGUGGCUUCGGCCACCGGAGAGCGGCGAACGGGUGAGUAACACGUGGGUGAUCUGCCCGGGAGCGGGGGAUAACCUGGGGAAACUCGGGCUAAUACCGCAUACGUUGACGUGGUUGCGGCCACGUUAAGAAAGCUGGCCUCUGCUUGCAAGCUAGCGCUCCCAGAGGAGCCCGCGGCUGAUUAGCUAGUUGGUGGGGUAAUGGCCCACCAAGGCGACGAUCAGUAGCCGGCCUGAGAGGGUGAUCGGCCACACUGGGACUGAGACACGGCCCAGACUCCUACGGGAGGCAGCAGUGGGGAAUAUUGGACAAUGGGCGCAAGCCUGAUCCAGCAACGCCGCGUGGAGGACGAAGGUCUUCGGAUCGUAAACUCCUGUCAGACGGGACUAAGGCUUCCAGGCAAAUAGUCUGGAAGCUUGACGGUACUGUCAGGGGAAGCCCCGGCUAACUCCGUGCCAGCAGCCGCGGUAAUACGGAGGGGGCUAGCGUUA